RNAcentral lists this ribosomal RNA (404 nucleotides) under uncultured bacterium. RNAcentral describes it as "bacterial SSU rRNA". It matches the Rfam family "Bacterial small subunit ribosomal RNA", at positions 355 to 776 of the family's 1533-position model. The record is from RNAcentral.
UGAGGAAUAUUGCACAAUGGGGGAAACCCUGAUGCAGCGACGCCGCGUGAGGGAAGAAGGUUUUCGGAUUGUAAACCUCUGUCUUCGGGGACGAUAAUGACGGUACCCGAGGAGGAAGCCACGGCUAACUACGUGCCAGCAGCCGCGGUAAAACGUAGGUGGCAAGCGUUGUCCGGAAUUACUGGGUGUAAAGGGAGCGCAGGCGGACUGUUAAGUUGGACGUGAAAUCUAUGGGCUCAACCCAUAGCGUGCGUUCAAAACUGGCGGUCUUGAGUGAUGUAGAGGUAGGCGGAAUUCCCGGUGUAGCGGUGGAAUGCGUAGAUAUCGGGAGGAACACCAGUGGCGAAGGCGGCCUACUGGGCAUUAACUGACGCUGAGGCUCGAAAGUAUGGGGAGCAAACAGG